Molecule: long non-coding RNA, 484 nt
Filed under: Fukomys damarensis (Damara mole-rat)
Lineage: Eukaryota; Metazoa; Chordata; Mammalia; Rodentia; Bathyergidae
Description: lncRNA (ENSFDAG00000023375.1)
Source: RNAcentral
UAGAGCACCAUAUUACCACGGAAAGAAAAUGCUGUAGCAUAAAGGCUAUGGUUCAGGUCAUUUGUAUCCAGAGUUUGCCAUUAAAGAUACAGUAUGCUACCCUUUUGGCUUCCAUCAGUAGAAUUGCAGAAAGCUGGAGUGAUUACCGAACACCAUGUUCUACUUCUGCAGUCAAAAGAGGAAGAGACUGCCAAGCCUGCCAAGCAACACACUGCAUUUGGCAAGAUCUUCCAACCUUUAUGAGUUCUGAUUCAUCUUCAUCACCUCGGCCAUUCUUCUGUCAAUAAUCUUGCAGAAGAACACUUGUAGAGAAGUUUUAGUAACUGCACAUGCACCUGUCACUCAAACGGAAGCCUUUUCUGUCAGGUAGUAAAGUCUUUAAAUCUCAGAUGUCGCUGUUCUUUAUCCGCUCUGUAGUAAGUCCAUGAUAUUUAACAUUGCACUUUUAUCUUGUGGAAAGUCUGGUGAUAAUAAAGUGUCAUAA